UUGUAUCCUCGUAGCUAAUCAUAUGUUGUUACUGGUAAAACAUAAACCCAAAUAUAAAUCAUAAACCAAAAUAGAAUGGAACAAAAUAAAUAACAUAGUAUAUACUGGUGAAAUUAUGAAAUGUAUAUUAUUGCAUUGAAUAAGAUAAUGCUGACCCUGACCCUAACGAUGUCCCCUCACUUUCUAAAUACUAAACCCUUAACUCUAAUCACGGAACAGAAUAAAUAAAAUAGUACAUAUUGGUGAAAUUAUGAAAUGUCUAUGAUUGCAUGGAAGAAGUUAAUGAUGACCCCAACCAUACCCCUCACCUUCUAAUUACCUAAUCUAAAUAUAAACCCUAAACUCAAAUAUCAAAAUCUAAAAAGUACAUAAUAUUAUGUAAUAUUAAACUCUACAAUAUAGAUCAUAGUACAAUUUUUACAGAUUCAAAAACAUGUAACGAUAGUUAAAACUUAAAAAAAAUUACAAACUACAUUUCUAAAAAAAUAGAGCGCUUUUAGUAACCUUC
Molecule: long non-coding RNA, 508 nt
Filed under: Brassica napus (rape)
Lineage: Eukaryota; Viridiplantae; Streptophyta; Magnoliopsida; Brassicales; Brassicaceae
Description: long non-coding RNA (BNAP_LNC019976)
Source: RNAcentral